This 253-nucleotide ribosomal RNA is filed under the name uncultured bacterium. Its description in RNAcentral is "partial 16S ribosomal RNA". It matches the Rfam family "Bacterial small subunit ribosomal RNA", at positions 524 to 776 of the family's 1533-position model. The record is from RNAcentral.
UACGGAGGGUGCAAGCGUUAUCCGGAUUCACUGGGUUUAAAGGGUGCGUAGGUGGCUUUGUAAGUCAGUGGUGAAAGCCCGGAGCUCAACUCCGGAACUGCCAUUGAUACUGCUUAGCUUGAAUCAAGUAGAGGUGGAUGGAAUAUUACAUGUAGCGGUGGAAUGCUUAGAUAUGUAAUAGAACACCGAUUGCGAAGGCAGUUCACUAUGCUUGUAUUGACACUGAGGCACGAAAGCGUGGGGAUCAAACAGG